CCUACGGGUGGCAGCAGUGGGGAAUCUUUGACAAUGGGCGCAAGCCUGACCCAGCAACGCCGCGUGGAGGAAGAAGGCUUUCGGGUUUUAAACUUCUUUUCUCAUGGACGAAGCUAGUGACGGUACCUGCGCAAUAAGCCACGGCUAACUACGUUGCAGCAGCAGCGGUAAUACUGAGGUGGCAAGAGGUAUUCGGAUUUACGGGGCGUAAAGAGCAUGUAGGCGGGACUGGAAGUCAGAUGUGAAAACCGCGGGCUCAACCUGGGGCCGGCAUAGGAUACUGCUAGGCUGGAGUGAUGGAGGGGGAAGCGGAAUUCGUGGGGUAGCGGUGAAAUGCGUAGAUAUCAGGAGGAACACUAGUGGCGAAGGCGGGUUGCUGGACGGUAACUGACGCUGAGGCUCGAAAGCGAGGGGAGCGAAAAGGAUUAGAUACCCGUGUAGUC
This 443-nucleotide ribosomal RNA is filed under the name uncultured bacterium. RNAcentral's name for it is "partial 16S ribosomal RNA". It matches the Rfam family "Bacterial small subunit ribosomal RNA", at positions 338 to 795 of the family's 1533-position model. The record is from RNAcentral.